This 797-nucleotide long non-coding RNA is filed under the name Mus musculus (house mouse). RNAcentral describes it as "long non-coding RNA chr6:87999139-87999936". Lineage: Eukaryota; Metazoa; Chordata; Mammalia; Rodentia; Muridae. The record is from RNAcentral.
CGUUCGUCUCUUUACAGAAGAACUCAGCCUACACCCUAGAAUGUAGACCUCUGAAGGGGAAGUGCUCCAGGAAGCAAGCCAUGAUGCAGGGCAGGACCUCGGGAAGGGACAGAACUGCCAGGGCUCAACCCAAGAGACGGUGGGUUAGUGCUGGGCCACACUUGGGUGGGUGGGAAAGGAGGAGGGUCUGCUAACCUACAGGUACCACAACCCUGAAAGGAGCGCCUUCUAGAACAAAGGUAGAGUCACUGGGACAGGUCUGGUGGGUUCUCCUUUCCUCUUUGAGUAGGAUAGUGACAAAAGGGCAUCAUAAAGUGUUGAAUAUAAGGAAAAAAAACAGAAAGGGAGAAAAUGAGAAUUUUAAUUCUUGAAGUAACAGCAAUUUAUCCAUUGUAUACACUACUAUAUUAAGCAAAUCAACCUUUUGGAAAAUUUAGACACAGAAGGGAACUGUCUAGUUCAGUUUUCCCUUCAGAGAGAUGAAAAGCUUUUUGGCUCUUAAGUCUGUGAUAAAAGGCGUACAUAAUUCUUGUGUCUACUGUACAGAAUACUGCCGCUAGCUGGACUUCCAAACUUGAGUCUCUAACACUCUGUAAUCCAGACAGGGUUCAACCCUCCACCUUGCACGCCUGCGUUAGAGGACUUAAACACACAAUCCAGGAAUUCCUUACACUAAUUUAUACAUUUUAAUUGGUUGCAUAUAUUAACAUGUACUAUAAGAUUCUUUUCUAAGAAGCAUUACAUAAUAAAUGGAUACUGUAAAAAGAUCUGAUUAGUUAAAAGUAACAAGCAUUAAC